RNA transcript from Zeugodacus cucurbitae (melon fly), 12290 nucleotides. It is a transcript of the gene named potassium voltage-gated channel protein Shal, with no coding region annotated. Lineage: Eukaryota; Metazoa; Arthropoda; Insecta; Diptera; Tephritidae. The record is from RefSeq and is a predicted model, not a curated record. The transcript is spliced from 7 exons.
UACACUUAAAUGUAUACAUAUGUGUAUAUAACGGCAUAAAUAUAGUGGUGGUGCUUUCUGACAAUUAAUCGACCAGUCAUUUAGUACUUGCAGCAGUAAUGGUGCUAUAUAGUAUACUUGUAUUUACACAAUUUCUUUUGAUUUUUUAAGAUGCUACCAUUCCAUGGAUAUUUCGUACAACGUAAUGUAGAGUGUCUUAAACUGAUUAGGACAUCAUGAAAAUGCUUGUUUAAAUACAAAAUAAUCGGAUGGCGUAAAUAAGUCUCCAAUAAUUGCAUAACGCCUACAAGAGACAAUAAACAGUUUUUCUCGCGUAACAAUUUACACCGCGAAAUUUGCUAAAAAGUGUUUAAUAUAGAGAUUAUUUUAAUCAGCAUAGCUUCAGUGUAAAACAUUCCACCACAUAGUAUGGCCUCGGUCGCCGCUUGGCUGCCCUUUGCACGGGCGGCGGCCAUCGGUUGGGUACCAAUUGCUACACACCCUUUACCGCCACCACCCAUACCAAAAGAUCGUCGCAAAACCGACGAUGAGAAGCUGUUGAUUAAUGUUUCUGGACGUCGUUUUGAAACGUGGCGCAAUACGCUCGAGAAAUAUCCGGAUACGUUGCUUGGUUCAAAUGAACGUGAGUUCUUUUACGACGAGGAUUGCAAGGAGUAUUUCUUCGAUAGAGAUCCAGAUAUAUUUCGUCAUAUACUCAACUAUUAUCGCACAGGCAAAUUGCAUUAUCCGAAACAUGAAUGUCUCACGAGUUAUGAUGAAGAAUUGGCAUUCUUCGGUAUUAUGCCCGAUGUAAUUGGCGACUGUUGUUAUGAAGAUUACCGCGAUCGUAAACGUGAGAAUGCUGAACGUUUGAUGGAUGACAAAUUGUCAGAGAAUGGCGAUCAGAAUUUACAACAGUUAACGAAUAUACGACAGAAAAUGUGGCGCGCAUUCGAGAAUCCACACACUUCUACAGCAGCAUUAGUGUUUUACUAUGUAACAGGGUUCUUCAUCGCGGUCUCUGUGAUGGCCAAUGUUGUGGAGACAGUACCAUGUGGCCAUAGACCCGGUCGAGCCGGUACACUGCCUUGCGGUGAACGUUAUAAAAUCGUAUUCUUCUGCCUUGAUACCGCCUGCGUUAUGAUAUUUACCGCCGAGUACUUAUUACGUCUAUUUGCUGCACCCGAUCGUUGCAAGUUUGUGCGCAGCGUAAUGAGUAUUAUUGAUGUUGUUGCUAUACUGCCAUAUUAUAUUGGAUUAGGCAUUACCGAUAACGAUGAUGUGAGUGGUGCCUUUGUGACGUUACGUGUUUUUCGGGUUUUUCGAAUAUUCAAAUUCUCACGCCACUCACAAGGACUACGGAUACUUGGAUACACAUUAAAGUCCUGUGCUUCAGAAUUGGGAUUUCUGGUAUUCUCACUGGCAAUGGCGAUUAUUAUUUUUGCAACCGUUAUGUUUUAUGCUGAAAAGAAUGUCAACGGUACGAAUUUCACAUCUAUUCCGGCCGCUUUCUGGUAUACCAUAGUAACAAUGACAACGCUGGGUUAUGGUGACAUGGUGCCUGAAACCAUAGCUGGAAAAAUCGUGGGCGGAGUUUGCUCACUCAGUGGAGUACUUGUGAUCGCUUUACCUGUGCCAGUUAUUGUUUCAAACUUUAGCAGAAUAUAUCAUCAGAACCAGAGGGCCGAUAAACGAAAAGCACAACGCAAGGCACGCUUGGCAAGAAUAAGAAUUGCUAAAGCUUCCUCGGGUGCUGCAUUUGUUAGUAAGAAGAAAGCUGCGGAAGCUCGUUGGGCCGCACAGGAGUCAGGAAUUGAAUUGGAUGACAAUUAUCGGGAUGAGGACAUAUUUGAACUACAACAUCAUCAUCUACUGAGGUGUCUUGAGAAGACAACUGAUCGCGAAUUUGUUGAGCUUGAAAUACCAUACAAUGGUCAACCGAAGCGUACUGGUUCUCCAUCCCCAAUGGCUAGUCCUGCCCAUUCAACAAAUAGUGCCGUCGGUUUAAUGCAAUCAUGUUGCGGCCGUUGCUGUUCUCAACGUUAUCAGAUUUCGGUUGGAUGAAGUUGACGUAAAUUAAUUGCUAGCUUCUCAUAGCCAAAAAUUAAUUGCAAAUACCAAGCGAAACCAGGUGGCUCUCCACCUCAUUUUUCCAACGGAGUGGCGGUCUACCUCUUCCUAUGUUUCCUCCGGCGGAUACUGGACUGGUACAGGACGGGAAUGAUGAGCGACUUGUAGGGUUUGGUCUUGGUUCGUCGAGUGAGGACUUUACAAUUCAAUUGCCUGCUCAGUAGAAAGUAGCACCUGUUGGCCGACGUUAUUGGUGUUGCUAGAAGAAAGUAUCUACAAGUUCAAAGACUUGACUGUCAACAGUGAGCCAAGACGCGAGUGUGCUGACUGUUUGUUUGAUGACUGGAGAUAUUUCGUCUUGUCCUCAUUCACCACCAGACUUAUUCGCUUCACUUCCGUAUCUAGUCUGGGAAAACAGAACUGAAGGUGCAGUUGUUACUUAGAAACUUUACUACCACAUAAAGGAUAAUCUGUUCAACAAACUUUGAACACAUUUUCUGUAAAAAAGCAAGCUCGUCUACGGAUUAUAUUUUUAUAAUUUAUUUUCUUUUUUAUCAAUUUUUAAUUUUUGAUUGAAUUUUUAGUAUUUCUUAUAUUUUUAAAUGAAUUAAUAAAGUUUUACUUUUGGUUUAUAUUUAAAUAUACUUAUUUUUAUACACUCGCAACAAAGUUGCUAAGAGAGUAUUAUAGUUUUGUUCACAUAACGGUUGGUUGUAAGACCUGAAACUAAACGAGUAGGGUUAUAUAUAGUAUAUCAAAAUGAUCAGUGUGACGAUUAAAGUUCAAAUAUGGAUGUCUGUCAGUCCGUCCGUCCGUGCAAGCUGUAACUUGAGUAAAAAUUGAGAUAUCUUGAUGAAACUUGGUAGACGUAUUCCUCGGCACCAUAAAAAGGUUAAGUUCGAAGAUGGAACACUGCCACGCCCACAAAAUGGCAAUAACCGUAAACACAUAAAGUGCCAUAACUAAGCCAUAAAUAAAGUUAUUAAAAAAAAUUAUUUGGAACUAAGGAUCGCACUAUUAAGGGGCAUAUUCGGGUGCAAUUUUUUUGGGGAAGUGGGCGUGGCCCCGCCCCCUACUAAGUUUUUUUACAUAUCUCGUAAACUACUUAUGCUAUAUGAAUCAACUUUUCGUUAAAGUACUACCUUACGCAGUCCAAAAAUGGAGGAAAUCGAGCUAUAACCACGCCCACCAUCCAUACAAAGGUUAUGUUGAAAACUACUAAAAAUGCUUUAAUUCAGUAAGGGAAAACACCAGAAACCUUUAAUUUCAUUGUAAAGAAGGUACAGAAGGGUUCCACCCAAAUUGGUAUACAAAAUUUUAAGUGGGUGUGGCUCCGCCUACUUAUGGAUCAAAAACCAUUUCUCCGAAACUAAUCGACCAAUAUCAGUGAAACUUGGUUUGUAAUAGUAUCCUUGCAUCCCAAUGAUAUCUUGUGAAAAUAGGCCAAAUCGGUUCACAACCACGCCCACUUCCAAUAUACCAGAACUUUGAAGUCGACCUGAAUUACAAUAUGUAAAGUAAGCACUAGUGAAGAUAUCGGAACAGAACUUUGCAUAAAUACUGCAUUUAUAGUGUAGCAGCCCCUUUCUAAAAAUCGCCGAAAUCGGACCAUAGGUUUUCAAGGCCCCUAUAUAUCGUUCAUGAGGACCUCGGUGCUUCUAUGCUUUAUGCUUUAUGCCUUGAGAGUGUCUAAUAUUUAUUCCAGCAUGCCUGCCUUUGUACCAAAGUUGUUGCUAUUGCUUAAACUCAACCACAAAUAUAUUUUACUGGAGAUUUACAUGAAAUUCCUGUUUGAUAAAUAUGUAUGUGUCCUUAGCGCCCAUAGACAAAAUAUAUUAAUUUUUGUUUUAUUUUUGAUAUUCGAUUAUAUUUUCUCAUUAAGAAAACAUAUUAGUUUGGAUGUACUGUGGUUUCAUACAACCACAACAUGUAAUCAACACACGAUUUCGUCUAAUAAUGGAUGCCGAAUUCUAGGCAAAAAACACAAUUUUUACGGGACAAAAAUACUUCAUAUAUGGCCGUAAUUUUGAGGUUCCCUAAUUUUUUAAUGAAAAAAAAACAGAUGAUUCAAAUUUAAUAGUGGUUGAUUAUUAUCAUUCGAAAUAGCAUUCUACGACAUUUAUUAUUUAAAGACAAUCUUUUUAAAUGUUACCCGCGGCUACGUCUCAGAUAGUACAUCCGUCGAGUCCAAUUUUCGGUGACUCUUUCGAGCAUUUCGACUGGUAACUGGCGAAUGACACAGGAAAAAAUUUAACGGCGUGUUGUCGCACGAUCUCGGUGGCCAAUCUGCCGGCUCAAAAUGUGCAAUUAUCCGCUCACCGAAGUGUUCCCUCAAUAAAUCCAUUGAUUGUGAUGUGUGGGAAAUGGCAUCAUCUUUUUUAAACCAAAUGUUGCCGAGAUGUGUCGCGUUAACGGUCCCCAUGAUUCCACCGGCCUACAUCUCGAAGUAAAGUGCGCGAGUCGUUCCAUACGUCAGUCCGAGUUGUUACGUACGGCGCCGAAUCGACUCUCCACAGUCUUCGCGAAACACAUUCUUUACAGAAUGUGAAUUUUCGUAAUAAAACAAUUUUUAAAGGUUGUUCAGACGUAAGUCAUUCCAUGAUGAAGUGCCGAACUAAAUAACAUAACAGCUUGACACGACUCACGCGAGAUCUGUUGAAAAAAGGCUAUUGAAUAAAGUACGUUUACUUGGAUCACCCUUUAGCUUGGUGGUGAAAAUAGAGAAAUCGGUCCUGGAAUUACACCAGCACACAUAUACUACAUAGUACUAGCUGACCACGCAGACGUUGCCCUGGGCGAAAUUAUUUGUUUUGAUUAUUUGUUUUGCGAAACAUAGUAAUGACAGAUCCAAUAUUGAGACGCAAAUGAUGCGACGGCAUGCCAGGCAAAUCCAAAGAAUUUAGAAAAUCAACUGGAUAAUUCACGGCUUUGUCUUCAUUUUCAACACAAAUCUCCCGGAAUUUGACAUGAACCGUAUAGUUUAAGUAAUCAGCAUCGAAAUUGCGCGUGCACUCAACCUAUCGUAUGUAUGUGAUUGGCGUUGCAACCGUUAAGCCGGUUAUAGCCGAAUCGACGAUAAUCCGCCACUUCUCUCUCACCUUCGCAGUUCGGCGCCAGUUGGAGAUCCCAAGUGUAACCAGGUCGCUCUCCACCUGGUCCCUCCAACGGAGUGGAGGCCUUCCCCUCCUCGGCUUCCUCCGGCGGGUACUGCAUCGAACACUUUCAGGGCUGGAGUGUUUUCGUCCAUUCGGACAACAUGACCUAUCCAGCGUAGCCACUGUAUUUUUAUUCGUUGAACUAUGUCCUUGUCGUCGUAGAAAGUGCUGAACACAAAGACGACGACACGACAAGACGUAGCGACAGCUGACCACAAAUGAUUUGGCGCAUGGUGAAUAUCUGGUCAGUUGUCGAUUUUCCAGGUCUAAAGACACACUGAUAAGGUCCAAUCAGUUUGUUGACGGUGGGCUUUCACACAGUACGCUCGAUAGAACUUUGUAUGCGAUAUUUAGGAGACUUAUCAGAUUGUGGGAUAUCCCUUUUUAUGGAUUGGGCAGAGCACACUGAGAUUCCAAUCGUCGGGCAUACUUUCUUCCGACCAUAUUCUGCAAAGUAGCUGAUGCAUGCACCUUAUCAGUUCUUCACCGCCGUAUUUGAAUAGCUCUGUCGGUAAUCUAUCGGCUCCCGCUGCUUUGUUGUUCUUCAAGCGGGUAAUUGCUAUUCGAAUUUCUUCAUGGACGACUAAUGGAACAUCUGUUCCAUCGUCAUCAAUUGGGGGAUCGGGUUCGCCAUCUCCUGGUGUGUAGUAGAAAAUCACAUUUAUUUAUUAUUAAUAACAAAAAUACUUAGUAAUAACAAUAAAUAGGGAAAAACCCUUAACAAAACCGGUUAUAUAUUUUCCUUUUGACAAUUCUCAGCGCAUUAAAUGUCACAAAUAUGAAAAGGCACUUAAAAGAGUAAAAUUGCAAACAAUUUUGUAUUUGUGGCUUAAAUAUUACAGGCAUUUAAGCGGGAAAUGCACUUAAGCGGACGCUCUUAAGCGGGGAAUUUUAUAUGUAAAUUUAGAGAAAAAACAACGAAGACGCAAAAUAUGGUCACUUAAGCGGGAAAGGCACAUAAACCGAGGGCACUUAAGUGGGGAUCACUGUAUUAGAUAAUGAUUUUCGCUGUUCUAAGAGUGGUCGUAGAAUUCUUCCUUUUUAUUUAUUUUGAUUCAUUUGAAAGAUACAGCCUUGGCCAAAAGUAUUAGGCACCCUAGAUAUAAAAUCCCUAGGUCAGUAAACGGCAAAUCAUCAGACUCAAUAAACUGCAACAAGUGUUCCUAUGGAAUGUUUGCUGAGAAUGGAGGCUCAGACAAAACACUGUCAUCAUCUAGGUCAACCAGAUCAAAGUAGUCUGAGCAUUCAAAAUUUAUUGCGCGCUUUUUAUCAUAAACCAUUAGAUUAGUCGGAUCACAAACUUUAUUACGAUAAUGUAGUAUCUUUUUAUGGCUCUUUCGCGAACAUCUUUUCUCUUAUCAUAAAGCAUUGCCAGUAAGAAAUUUUCAGGAUGAGCGAAGUAUGAAUUAUUUUGGAUUACAGUGUUAACAAUUUCUCGCAGCGUUGGUGGUAAAUAUCGCGUGGACCGUAUAAAUUUAAAAAACAAGAGACUGCCGUAUACAACUGAGUUGUAGAACUUAUUGUUAAAGUACAUCGGUACGUAAACUUUCAUUAGUAAGUUGCCAAAGUUUUUAAAUUCGAUGAUGGUGAACUAGUUGUCACGUAUAAACGUAAGAGGCUGCUUGUCUUUGUUAGCCAUCGAGAGUGUACAAUUUGUACCGGUUUCAUACUGGCUAAAUUUUCGGGGCAGAAGCCAUCACAAACUACAUUUUCCAUUCGAUUCAAGUGCUGAACGUCAGUCGAGAGCGUUUUUUUCAUGAAUGGGUGGAGGCAUAUCUCCCAACGAAAUGGCCUCAAAGUCGGUUACAGCCUACAGAAAGAUUUUAUUUAUUUAGCUCAGAUUAAAAUAUACCUGCUAGGCUCUUUAAAACAAUUGUUUGCUUACCGUCAUCUCCUCGCAUGUUUCGAUUUGCUUUGUUAUUAUCCCACUAGCUAUGCGCGGUACGCUUGUAGUGGACUUUUCUAAUGGGGAGAACAAGUGAUGAAAUGGAAGUUCAUUAAAGUUUAAUAAACAAACAAACCAGUGAAAUGAUAUAUUCAACAUGACUUCGAAUCUCCUCAAAAUUCCAUAUUCAGAACCUGUGUUUGUUGCUUCUCCAUCACAGCAAAUUCCAAUCAGUCUCUCAAGGGACAUAUAUUUUUCUAUAAGGAACUCGCACAAUUGCCUCUGUUUUGUUUUAGCGUCCUCGGCGUCGACUAUUACGUAACCCAACAAUCUGCUCUCAGGCUUAAGAACCACUAAAUGUGAUUAUUUUACCAUUCUCGGAUGAGAUCUUUCAUUUUCUUCUUCGCUCGUCAGAGAGUUGUUUUUUCUGCCAUCAAAGGAGAAGGCUACCAGAUCACAGUCAUUGCGUUGCUUCCUUCGAAGAGAAUCCCUACAUUUCUUUCUUUCACGUGAAACUUUAGAUUUGUCCAUAAUUAUUGGUUCCCCAUUUUCAUCUUUAAAGUUAAUAGUAUUGAAAAGCGAUGUGGCCAAAAAGAAGCAACCCUAUUACCGGUUCCAAACCUCUCGCACGCCAUGACGAAAUUAGGAGUAUCGUACCUUUUGGUAUAUUCUUUUUUCGACGAACUUGGCUCUCUUGCAGUUGGAUCAAGACUAGUUGGCGCCAGUGUUGAUUGUUGGUCAACAGCAAUCGCCUCGAAUUCGGGAAUGGUUAGCUUCCUCUUACUGUGCUGAUCAAUCAUAAACUCUUGGAGUUCAAUGGGUAUUAAACCACAGCAGCAAGACAAUGUUUUUGCACACUGACAUUUUCCAAUAUAAAACACUUGAUCAAUUGUUUCCAGAAACGUUGAAGACUUACUUGGUCUACUUUUAAAUUUUAUUUCAUUAUGAUAUUUAUUUAGCAAUGUUUUCAGUUUUUUCGAGUCAGUUUUUUCUUUGAUAAACGGAGUGUUUAGUUUAUUCCAAUUUGUUUCUUGCCACUUGUGCGUUAAGAUUACCGUACGAUUGCUUUUUUUGUUAUUUUAAAAAUAAAUAGUAAUUUAAUACGUCACGAUUACUUGGUAGAUUUAGAUCGCUUAAAUCUGUUGGAAAGCCAAUAUUCAGACUGCGAAGAGCGCAACACCCGGAGUUCAUUGAAAUUGUAUCAAUUUCUGAAUUGGUGGAAUCAACUGAUAUUGCAGACGUUCCCAUUAUAAUUUAUUUCUCGAAAACUAUUUAAAACUUGAAAAAAAUUAUUUAGAACACACUAUUGUUUAUUCAACGCAGACCACUCGUAUGGUAAGAGUACCGUACGAUUGCUUUUUUUAUUGUUUUGCUCAGCCACGUGAAAAAAAAAAACAAAUAAGUUACAAAAGCCUGCUAUUACUGCAUUAAUUGCAUGGCAUGCUGUUAUUUUUAAACCUAUAGGUUUUUGAGUACAAUUUAAUAAGUAUGACCUCAAAAUCUAAAGUCGCUCUGCGCGAACUAGGAAUUAAUUUUAGACCCAUGGUUUCUUGGCAAAACAUUUUUAGAAUUUUCUGUAGAUUUCGCUUUUGCUAGCCGCUUUAUGUGAAAAAAAAUCGACCCGCUCUAGUAUAUAUAUAUAUGUAUAUUAUUUGCGUAGGAACCGCCUAAAUGACCUAGCCAGCGUAGCUGUCUUUUUAUUCGCUGAACUAUGUCAAUGUUGUCGUAUAAAUCGUACAGCUCAUCGUUCCAUCGUCUGCGGUAUUCGCCGUUGCCAAUGUUUAGAGGACCAUUAAUCUUGUGCAAAACCUUUCUCUCAAAAACCCCAAGAGUCGUCUCAUCGAAUGUUGUCAUCGUCCACGCUUCUACAUCAGGACGAGAAUAAUGAGCGACUUGUUGAGUUUGAUUUUGGUUCGUCGACAGUGGACUUUACUUUUCAAUUGCCUACUCAGUCCAAAGUAGCACCUGUUGGCAAGAGUGAUUCCGCGUUGGAUUUCGAGGCUGACAUUGUUGGUGUUGUUAUUACUGGUUCCCAAGUAGACGAAAGUAUCUACGACUUCAAAGUUAUGACUGUCAACAGUGACGUGGGAGCCAAAGCGCGUGUGCGCUGACUGUUUGUUUGAUGACAAGAGAUAUUUCGUCUUGUCCUCAUUCAUCACCAGACCCAUACGCUUCGCUUACUUAUCCAGUCUGGAAAAAACAAAACAAACGGCGCGGUUGUUGCUUCCGAUGAUAUCAAUAUCAUCGGCGUACGCCAGCAGCUGUACAAUCCUAUAAAAGAUUGUACCUUCUCUAUUUAGCUUUGCAGCUCGUAUUUUUUCCAGCAAUAUAAUGAAGAAGUCGCACGAUAGUGAGUCGCCCUGUCUGAAGCCUCGUUUGGUAUCGAUCGGCUCGGAGAGGUCCUUCUCGAUCCUGACGGAGCUUUUGGUGUUGCUCAACGUCAGUUUACAUAGCCGUAUUAGUUUUGCAGGGAUACCUAAUUCAGACAUCGCGGCAUAGAGGCAACUGCGUUCCGUGCUGUCGAAAGCAGCUUUAAAAUCGAUGAGAAGGUGGUGAGUAUCGAUUAUUCUCUUUCAUGUCUUUUCCAUGAUUUGGCGCAUGGUCAAUAUAUGGUCCAUGGUGGAUUUUCCUGGUCUAAAGCCACACUGAUAAGGUCCAAUCAGUUCGUUGACGGUGGGCUUUAGUCUUUUCGCUCGACAGGACCUUAUAUGCGAUAUUGAGGAGACUUAUACCACGGUAAUUGGCGCAGACUUUUAUGGAUUGGGCAGACAGCUCUGAGAUUCCAAUCAUCAGGCAUGCUUUUUUCCGACCAAAUUCUACAACGAAGCAGAUGUAUGAACCUUAUCUGUUCAUUGCCGUCGUAUUUGAAUAGCUCGACCGGUAAUCUAUGUUUGUUGUUAUUCAGGUGGCUUGCACAGACAGACAUCUGCUCGUCACCCUGAUCACUUUGGUAUAUAUAACUCAAUAUCUAACUCGUUUAGUUUUAGGUGUUACAAACAACCGUUAUGUGAACAAAGCUAUAAUACUCUCUCUUUAGCAACUUUGUUGCGAGAGUAUAAAAAUACGUCGAUAGAAUUUAGUGAAGUGUAAGUGUAUAAAUUCCAAAUAUAUCGAGAACUAACGUAUUAAAAUUUGUCAAUUUUUAAAUGCGCGAAUAACUCGAAAACUAUAAGUCUCCUGCAGCUAUUAUUGUAUACAUUGUUAAUCUGAAGGAUCCCCUCUAUCCUACCAUAUUCAUUUUAACCCCGAAAUCGUUAGAUGCUGUACUAAAGUCCAGUCAAUGAGAGAGUAAAAUGUAUAGUCGCACCCGAACUUUGCUCCUUCCUUACUUGUUGACCCUUUAACUUGAUGGAUGGUUUGAGUAAAAAAUAAAAUAACUGGGUAAAUAUGUACCCCUAAAAUGGCGUUAAGCGCAAAUCUAGAAAGAAUUGUAACUGUACUUUAAAAUAAGCUAUAAAAUUGGUAAAGAGGAUCACAGUUGAGUGGGGCAUAUAUGGUUUCAACUUUUUUACAGAGUGGGCGUGUUCGCGCCUCGUACAAUGUUUUGUGUUCCCAUUAAAAUCUACUAACUCGCACUCAUUAUUAAAAAUAAUUUUUUUAAGGGGUGAAGUGCGUUUCAGAGCAGAAAACCAAUUAUUUUUAUACUCUCGCAACCUGUUGCACAGUGUAUAAUAGUUUUGUUCACAUAACGGUUGUUUGUGUCACCAAGAAAUAUAAGAGUUAGAUAUGAGGUUAUAUAUAUAUAAAUGAUCAGGAUGACGAGUGGAUUUGAAAUCCGGAUGUCUGUCCGUCCGUCUGUCCGUGCAAGCGAUAACUUGAGUAAAAAUUAUGAUAUCUUAAUGAAACUUGGAACACAUGUUCCUUGGCACCCUGAGGAGGUUGCUUUCGAAAAUGGGCAAAAUCGGUCCACUGCCACGCCCACAAAAUGGCGGAAACCGAAAACCUAUACAGUGUCAUAACUAAGCCAUAAAUAAAGUUAUGAAAAUGAAAUUUGGAACAUAGGGAGGGGCACAUUUGGAUGUAAUUUUUUUGGGGAGGUGGGCGUGGUCCCGCCCUCAAAUUGGUUUUUUGUACAUAUCUCGGAAACCAAUAGAGCUAUAUAAACCAAACUUUCUGCAGUCGUUUUGUUUAGCCACUUCUUAGUACAGUUCAAAAAUGAAAGAAAUCGGAUAAUAACCACGCCCACCUCCCAUACAAAGGUUAGGUUGAAAAUUACUAAAAGUGGGUUAACUCACUAACGAAAAACGGCAGAAACAGUAAAUUUCACACAAGAAAUGGCAGAUGGAAGCUGCACUCAGAUUUUUUUACAAAAUGGAAAAUGGGUGUGGCGUCGCCCACUUAUGGGUCAAAAACCAUAUCUCAGGAACUACUCGACCGAUUUCAAUGAAACUUGGUUUGUAUUAGUUUCGUUACAUCUCAAUGAUAUGUUGUGAAAAUAGUCCAAAUCGCUUCACAACCACGCCUACUUCCUAUAUACCAGAACCUUGAAGACGAUCUGAAUCGUUUACAUUACAAUAUAUAAAGUAAGCACUAGUGAAGAUAUCGGUGCAGAACUUUGCACAAAUACUAUGUAUAUAGUGUGGCAGCCCCAUUUUAAAAAUUGCCGAAAUCGGACCAUAGGUUUUUAAGGCCCCAUUUAUCGAACACGAGGACCUCGGUGCUUCUAGUCCAAUAUUAUGGUUUCCAAUUUUCAAUGGACUUUAUACAAUAUAUAUGACGAAUAUGUGGGUCAAAUUGUGUAUUACAUUAUAUAAAUAAAGUCAAAUAAAUAAAUUGCGAGAGUAUAAAAUGUUCGGUUACACCCGAACUUAGCUCUUCCUUACUUGUUAUAUAUAUACAAUUAUAUAUUUAAACUAUUCAGCAUAUCAAAGAAAUGUAUUUAAAAAGUUUAUUUUUAAAUUGGUUUCAAUCGCCUAGGUGGUGUGUGUUGUGAUCUGAGUAUUAUAUGGUAGAUUGUGUUGCAACAUCAUUAAAGACGUGAAUAAAUGCUUUCUUGCGGAAAGUACAUGCCGGCCUCGGGCAAUGUUCAAAAUAAUGAAAACAAUCAGCCACUGGACGGCACUUACCUGGUGGAGGCUUCCUUUUAAUGCGUAAUGUUCUUAUUUACAAAAAGUUGUAGUAUGUAAUGACUAAUUCAUGAAAUAUUUAAUGAUUACAUAUUGAGAAUAUCACUUACCUAAAUAUAAUAGUCGUAUACAUUA